UUACAGGGAUAUGGCUCUGAAUAUAUACAGCAACACCUCCCCCAUAAGAUCUUCUCUAAGUAUUACAGGGAUAUGGUUCUGAUUAUAUACAGCAACACCUCCCCCAUAAGUAUUUAUCCAUAAGAAUUUAUCUCUUCUGUAGAUGUUUUAUCCUUUUAUUGCUAUCUGAUGUUAGCAAGUUACUGAUUUCAUGAACCUUAUUUCUAAGGCUAUAUAUUAAUACGGGCUAUUUUCAGCGCUUUCCUAGCUAGCUUGUCAGGCAUCAUAUGGAGAAGAGCAAACAAGCAAGGGAAAGAAAAUACAGUCAACAGUCUAUUAAUCCAUUGGUGUGCGAGUGCUGUUGGGUUGAAGCUACGAACCCAUAGGCUUGGCUCUCUCAUCCCUUCCAGGCUUCUGGGAGGGAGGGUGGACAAUGAGCCUGUCAUAGCAGAUGUAAGCAAUGUCCCCACACGCUCUGGCAGCUUUCAUGUCUGGGAUCAGUUCUUUCCUCUUCUGGCACACAGCUUCAGGAUAGUCCUCAUUGAGGAAGAUAUACGUUCCUCUCAAGUUCUUGGCUCUUUCCAGAACAGCUACCUUGUCCUUGAACCUCAGGAACUUGACCACUAUCAUCCUGGGAAUGUCACCUGGGCCAGUGGUGAGUUUUCCAGUCCAAGGCUUCAGGACAAUGAGCCUGUCAUAGCGGAUGUAAGCAAAUGACUCUAGUAAAAGUGAAAGUCACCCAGUAAAAUCCUACUUGAGUAAAAGUUUAAAAGUAUUUGGUUUUAAAUAUACUUAAGUAUCAAAAGUAAAUGUAAUUGCAAAAAUAUACUUAGGUUAGCAAAAGUAAAAGUAAAUGUGUAAUUAAUUUCAAAUUCCUUAUAAACCUGACAACAGAAUUUUAAAAAUGUACAGAUAGCCAGGGUCACACUUUAGUGAGUCCGCCAGAUCAGAUGCAGCAUCUUUAAGUUUGUGAAUUAGACCAUUUUCCUGUCCUGCUAAGCAUUGAACAUGUAAUGAGUACUUUUGGGUGUCAGGGAAAAUGUGUGGAGUAAAAAGCACAAUAAUUUCUUUAGGAAUGUAGUGGAGUAAAAGUUGUCAAAAACAUGAAUAGUAAAGUACAGAUACACUAAAAAACAACUUAACUAAUCCAAUAACCAUUAUAGUUCCAUACUGUCAAGAUAAUCAAAUAUAUGAGUUCUGGUUCAUGAGAUACAUUAAUUCACAGGUUAACCAGGUUAGUUCAGUUUUAACCAGGUUAGUUCAGUUUUAACCAGGUUAGUUCAGAUUUAACCAGGUUAGUCCAGAUUUAACCAGGUUAGUCCAGAUUUAACCAGGUUAGUCUAGUCUUAACCAGGUUAGUCUAGUUUUAACCAGGUUAGUCCAGUUUAACCAGGUUAGUCCACUGUUAACUAGGUUAGUCCACUCUAACCAGGUUAGUCCAGUUUAACCAGGGAAGUCCAGUUUAACCAGAACAAAGGGGAAAAAUCUGAAAUGGCACCCUAUACAUUGCAUAGAACACAGCUGUUUGCCAGAGCCAAUUAUAUAGGGGACACAGUGCCAUUCUGGACAUAGAGACAAUUAUAUAGGGGACACGGUGCCAUUCUGGACAUAGAGACAAUUAUAUAGGGGACACGGUGCCAUUCUGGACAUAGAGACAAUUAUAUAGGGGACACGGUGCCAUUCUGGACAUAGAGACAAUUAUAUAGGGGAUACGGUGCCAUUCUGGACAUAGAGACAAUUAUAUAGGAGAUACGGGGCCAUUCUGGACAUAGAGACAAUUAUAUAGGGGACACGGUGCCAUUCUGGACAUAGAGACAAUUAUAUAGGGGAUACGGUGCCAUUCUGGACAUAGAGACAAUUAUAUAGGGGACACGGUGCCAUUCUGGACAUAGAGACAAUUAUAUAGGGGAUACGGUGCCAUUCUGGACAUAGAGACAAUUAUAUAGGGGAUACGGUGCCAUUCUGGACAUAGAGACAAUUAUGUCCAGAAUGGCACCGCGCCUGCCGGGUUGAAAUAUGGUUUCUCUCUUUGUUUACGGAGGUGCUAUCCUCAGAUAAAAGCAUUGUUUGCUUUCGCCGAAAAGCCUUUUGAAAUCUGACAUGUUGGCUGGAUUCACAACACGUGUAGCUUUAAUUUGCUAUCUUGCAUGUGUGAUUUUAUGAAAGUUUGAUUUUUAUAGUAAUUUAUUUGAAUAUGGCGCUCUGCAUUUUCCCUGGCUUUUUAUCCCAGAGAGGUUGAACAAGAAAGUAAUACAAUUCUGAUCUUUUGUCAUUAUUAUGUCACCAUAAUGUUAUUUUGAAAGAGGAAGCUAAAUAUUUUCAGCAUCUCCAUCUCCACUGAAUGAUGUUUACUUUCAGGACUUUUUCUGAGGAGGAGCUUCUUGAUUUACUCAAAGAACUAUUACCAUUAUUGUUUAAUCCAGAUGAAAUGCACACAUACGUACAAAUAAAACAUAUUACCAGAUAUUGUUUGUUCUGAUCAGAGGAGGAAAUGUACUACAAGUAAUAAAACAAUUUGAAACAUCCAAGAAAACCAAGCCUGGUCUUCAUAGAACAUUUUUUAAAGACUUUUUGAUAAAGUGUGAGUAUAAUUUUUAUAUACAUGACUAUUUCAAUUUCGGGGGAAUCUCUUAUACAGUUCGUUUAAAGCUAUGUAUAGA
Oncorhynchus tshawytscha (Chinook salmon) is the source of this 2639-nucleotide long non-coding RNA. NCBI's taxonomy places the organism in Eukaryota, Metazoa, Chordata, Actinopteri, Salmoniformes, Salmonidae. The record is from Ensembl.